Molecule: long non-coding RNA, 543 nt
Filed under: Lupinus angustifolius (narrow-leaved blue lupine)
Lineage: Eukaryota; Viridiplantae; Streptophyta; Magnoliopsida; Fabales; Fabaceae
Description: long non-coding RNA (LANG_LNC001912)
Source: RNAcentral
UAAAUGAAAAAGGGGUUAAAUAAUAAAACUUGGAAUAGGCAAAGGGGUGUUACCCCUUCAUUUCACGAAGAACAGAGGGAAUAAAUCCCUAAAUCACCUUUCCUCCCUCUUUGUCUACUUCCACGGCGGCAGCAACAAUCAAAUUGGCGGAGGACGACGACACCGUACGCUAUCGAAGCAAGCUGAAGAACAAGGUAUGAACGUCUUCUUUAUCUCUUCUUCUUGUGAUGAAGGUUGCAUUCAUGGAGUAAAUCUGUAGCUUCCUAUUUCCGUUUACGAUUCCCUCUCAUCUCUUCUGUCUUCUCUCUCUCUUUCACGACAAUGGAGAUGCAUUCACGGUGGUGACUAGAUGGCGGUUCAUGAUGAUGAAGUUGGGGUCACGGUUAGGAACACAGAUUAUCACGAUGGAUUGAAGAAUUAGUGAUCAUCUUUCUCCGUUUUACUUCCCUUUAACUAUGAACCCGUGCUCUUUUCUCUAUCCUAUUUAUUUCUCACAGCUUUUCAUUCUCACAGAGACCCCUUAAAGCAUAGGGAGGACACCNN